Molecule: ribosomal RNA, 440 nt
Filed under: uncultured Rhodoferax sp.
Lineage: Bacteria; Pseudomonadati; Pseudomonadota; Betaproteobacteria; Burkholderiales; Comamonadaceae
Description: bacterial SSU rRNA
Rfam family: Bacterial small subunit ribosomal RNA
Source: RNAcentral
GGAAUUUUGGACAAUGGGCGAAAGCCUGAUCCAGCAAUGCCGCGUGCAGGAUGAAGGCCUUCGGGUUGUAAACUGCUUUUGUACGGAACGAAAAAGUCUGCCCUAAUACGGUGGGCCCAUGACGGUACCGUAAGAAUAAGCACCGGCUAACUACGUGCCAGCAGCCGCGGUAAUACGUAGGGUGCGAGCGUUAAUCGGAAUUACUGGGCGUAAAGCGUGCGCAGGCGGUUAUAUAAGUCAGAUGUGAAAUCCCCGGGCUCAACCUGGGACCUGCAUUUGAGACUGUAUAGCUAGAGUACGGUAGAGGGGGAUGGAAUUCCGCGUGUAGCAGUGAAAUGCGUAGAUAUGCGGAGGAACACCGAUGGCGAAGGCAAUCCCCUGGACCUGUACUGACGCUCAUGCACGAAAGCGUGGGGAGCAAACAGGAUUAGAUACCCCGG